Molecule: long non-coding RNA, 1987 nt
Organism: Cervus elaphus (red deer)
Lineage: Eukaryota; Metazoa; Chordata; Mammalia; Artiodactyla; Cervidae
Exons: 4
Source: RefSeq, a predicted model, not a curated record
GGAAAGUCUAAGUACUUUCUGCUGUGAGAAAAAUAUUCCAGGAUGAAGGGAUGAAAGGGCGGCUGGGACGCCAGGCGGGCAGUGGGCGAACAUCAGCCCCUCCUUUGUGCCGCGAUUUGGAAAGCUUCUUGAACAGGGCCUCAGCUGAAAGAUGAGCCAGGAUUCUGAGCCCAAGACCCACACUGAAAGGACCACCAUGGUUCAAUGAUCCAGCAGGGCAACAGGUAUCCGACAGCAGAACCAGAAGAUAAAAUAAAUACAGAAAGUUAUUCAAUUAGUGAUUGGAAGGAAAGAGGUGAUCGAGUAUUCAGAGACUCCUGGAAACUCUCCUUGAUGGACAAAUGUAGGAGAGCGGCACGUUGAGGGUUUCCAAGGCUCUCGCCCCAUCUCUACUUGGUGCACGAGUGAGACAGUCGAGAUGCUGUUGUAGCCGGCGGCAACCAGUGCCAAGCGGGGCCUAGAAUUGGGGACAGUGAGGUGACCAUGCUUCAAACCACGCAGGGGACCUACCUCCAUUCAGAGACCGCCCGAGGGUGUGUAUAGGUAGAUACACAAACACCAGGCUGCCAAUCAAGCUCUGCUUUCCACCCGGGACAAAGGAAUCACAAAAACAAAAAAAUGUAAGUUUCCCUAGUGGUGCAAUGGAUAAGAAUCUGCCUGUCAAUGCAGGAAGGAGAGACAGGUUCAAUCCCUAGUCUGGGAAGAUUCCAUACUCCGUGAAGCAGCUAAGCCGGUGCACCACAGCUACUGGGCCUGUCCUCUAGAGCCGGGGAGCCACCCAUGCUGAGCCCAGGAGCCCAGCUACUGAAGCCCAGGAGGCUAGGGCCUGUGUUCCACCACGAGAAGCCCAAGAGAGGAGACCCCGCUCGCCACAGCCAGAGAAGCCUGCACAGCAGCAAAGACCCAGGACAGCCUAAACAGAUCAAUAAAUCUCGAAAACAAAGACAAAGCUGUAGGUCCAUCCACAAGUGGAAAUGAUAUUAAGUCGUUGGUCCACAAGUCAAGGAAGAAGGUAGCCUAGGCCGCUGUCAGAGAUGAGCGAACCUACCCGUUGGAGUUUCUGGCGGCUCUGGGGCCCUGACUCUGUGACUCUCAGGCUUUGCACCAGCGGAGGGCUGGAGAAAAUAAAAGCGUUCUGGGUUUGCGCAUCUCUCAGGCGAGAGCCAUAAAAUAUGGAUAUGCAUACGUUGGGUUACACAUUAGCAACUGACAACUGCACAUCAAAAAAAAAAAAAAAGGUGUCCUUCCUCGGCGCAGAACGUGACGGAAGAAUCCGGAACGGUAAAGAAAAAAGAGCUGUGCGCGGGAGAACCGUUUCAUUUCAUUCCUUAUAUGUACAAACAUGAAUAAUUUGACAUGAUGUUUAGACAGUUUCUCCCUAACUUAAGUCUUUUAAUUAAAAUGAAAGGAAGGAAAUAUGCUUUAAAUAUGAAUGCGGGAAGGUGUGGGCUGGCACACUUGCCCACGUGCCCCUCUCCCUCCGUCUUUGGAGAACACAAUAAACUCUCAUCUUCCCGUGCUGUCUUUUCAUAAUGUUUACGGUUGUUGUAGGCACCACAUAACCCGUGCUGUUUGCGAUGCUCCCCAUAUUAAGCGAGAGCCCAUCCCUUCCUCUGCUAUUUACUUUUGUGGCAAAUCAGUCAAUGUAUUUUCCUCGACUCACCAGGCAAUAACGCAGGGCUGCCUGUGGCCGGAAAGGUAAAUGCUAACUUUUCAAACAGUGCCAAACGGCACGCCCCGGGCUGAGCGCCGAGUGAAUGAGAGGAGUAUAUUCCGGGCUGAAAAAUGGGCCCGGAUGUUAGCCCUCAUAAAUUACAUGAUUAUUAAAGUGCUGCGCAGUCCCGCCCAUAUGAUCGCGUUUUACCUUCUGCUGGCUCCCCGCUGACCGCUCCACUUUGUUUUCCGUGCGCUUAACUUGGGAAAUGCUAAACAAGUUGUGAUAUUUACCUGUUUAGGAUCAAAUUGCGAAAUGAUCUGCUUAGUUCUG